Molecule: non-coding RNA, 219 nt
Filed under: Aeribacillus pallidus
Lineage: Bacteria; Bacillati; Bacillota; Bacilli; Caryophanales; Bacillaceae
Description: T-box sequence
Rfam family: T-box leader
About the family: Uncharged tRNA acts as the effector for transcription antitermination of genes in the T-box leader family.
Source: RNAcentral
AAACAACCGAUGACGGAGACAAGUAGCUGGGAUGCACAUGGACAGAGAGGAAAGGCCUUAGGCUGAAAGCCUUUCCCCAUGAUCGCUUAGUGAAGAACACUCCGGAGGUUUUCCUCUGAAAGGUGUAAAAGUAGGAGGAAACGUAAAUAGGCGUUAACUUUUAAGUGGAAGCAUUGCUUCAAUUAGGGUGGCACCACGGGAGACUCUCCCGUCCCUACG